CCCUUAGAUGUUCUGGGCCGCACGCGCGCUACACUGAUGCAUUCAACGAGUUUCUUCCUGGUCCGAGAGGAAUGGGUAACCUUUUGAAAGUGCAUCGUGAUAGGGAUAGACUAUUGCAAUUAUUGGUCUUCAACGAGGAAUUCCUAGUAGACGUAGUUCAUCAGACUGCAUCGAUUACGUCCUUGCCCUUUGUACACACCGCCCGUCGCUCCUACCGAUUGAAUGCUCAGGUGAGCCAUUCGGACUUUCAUCAUGCUGGUUUCCAGUUUUGAUGAAGGAAAGUCUUGCGAACCUUAUCAUUUAGAGGAAGGAGAAGUCGUAACA
This 324-nucleotide ribosomal RNA is filed under the name uncultured eukaryote. RNAcentral's name for it is "partial 18S ribosomal RNA". It matches the Rfam family "Eukaryotic small subunit ribosomal RNA", at positions 1470 to 1796 of the family's 1831-position model. The record is from RNAcentral.